GACGAACGCUGGCGGCGUGCCUAAUACAUGCAAGUCGAACGCUGAAGGAGGAGCUUGCUUCUCUGGAUGAGUUGCGAACGGGUGAGUAACGCGUAGGUAACCUGCCUGGUAGCGGGGGAUAACUAUUGGAAACGAUAGCUAAUACCGCAUAAUAGUAGAUGUUGCAUGAAAUUUGCUUAAAAGGUGCAAUUGCAUCACUACCAGAUGGACCUGCGUUGUAUUAGCUAGUUGGUGAGGUAACGGCUCACCAAGGCAACGAUACAUAGCCGACCUGGGGGGGGGAGCGGCCACACUGGGACUGGGACACGGCCCAGACUCCUACGGGAGGCAGCAGUAGGGGAGCUUCGGCAAUGGACGGAAGUCUGACCGAGCAACGCCGCGGGAGUGAAGAAGGUUUUCGGAUCGUAAAGCUCUGUUGUAAGAGAAGAACGAGUGUGGGAGUGGAAAGUUCACACUGUGACGGUAUCUUACCAGAAAGGGACGGCUAACUACGUG
Molecule: ribosomal RNA, 495 nt
Filed under: uncultured bacterium
Lineage: Bacteria
Description: partial 16S ribosomal RNA
Rfam family: Bacterial small subunit ribosomal RNA
Source: RNAcentral